This 275-nucleotide ribosomal RNA is filed under the name uncultured prokaryote. RNAcentral's name for it is "partial 16S ribosomal RNA". It matches the Rfam family "Bacterial small subunit ribosomal RNA", at positions 524 to 798 of the family's 1533-position model. The record is from RNAcentral.
UACGUAGGUGGCAAGCGUUGUCCGGAUUUAUUGGGCGUAAAGGGAGCGCAGGCGGUGACUUAAGUCUGAUGUGAAAGCCCACGGCUUAACCGUGGAGGGUCAUUGGAAACUGGUCGACUUGAGUGCAGAAGAGGGAAGUGGAAUUCCAUGUGUAGCGGUGAAAUGCGUAGAGAUAUGGAGGAACACCAGUGGCGAAGGCGGCUUCCUGGUCUGUAACUAACACUGAGGCGCGAAAGCGUGGGGAGCAAACAGGAUUAGAUACCCGGGUAGUCCCU